This 389-nucleotide ribosomal RNA is filed under the name uncultured Glomus. Its description in RNAcentral is "SSU rRNA". It matches the Rfam family "Eukaryotic small subunit ribosomal RNA", at positions 569 to 962 of the family's 1831-position model. The record is from RNAcentral. Lineage: Eukaryota; Fungi; Glomeromycota; Glomeromycetes; Glomerales; Glomeraceae.
AGCAGCCGCGGUAAUUCCAGCUCCAAUAGCGUAUAUUAAAGUUGUUGCAGUUAAAAAGCUCGUAGUUGAAUUUCGGGGUUAGUAGGUUGGUCAUGCCUCUGGUAUGUACUGGUCUCACUGAUUCCUCCUUCCUGAUGAACCUUAAUGCCAUUAAUUUGGUGUUUUGGGGAAUUUGGACUGUUACUUUGAAAAAAUUAGAGUGUUUAAAGCAAGCUAACGCUUGAAUACAUUAGCAUGGAAUAAUGAAAUAGGACGUUCGAUCCUAUUUUGUUGGUUUCUAGGAUUGACGUAAUGAUUAAUAGGGAUAGUUGGGGGCAUUAGUAUUCAAUUGUCAGAGGUGAAAUUCUUGGAUUUAUUGAAGACUAACUACUGCGAAAGCAUUUGCCAAG